This is a long non-coding RNA of Coccinella septempunctata (seven-spotted ladybird), 198 nucleotides long. RefSeq lists it as uncharacterized. The transcript has 2 exons. Lineage: Eukaryota; Metazoa; Arthropoda; Insecta; Coleoptera; Coccinellidae. The record is from RefSeq and is a predicted model, not a curated record.
UAGCAGCUCAAGAGAGAAGAUCUAACUGAAUCAAUUAUUAGGAACCAAGGAGUAUGUAGCAGACAUUUCAUAACGGUGUAACGAAGGAAGUGAUCUGGGUGAUACAGAGCAAGCAGGGCAAAGCAGAUUGAGAGGCUGUGCUAAACAAACAGACUUGACAAUGACCAUGUUAAGUACACAAGUUGAGCAGUUCAACUU